AGAAAAUUUUACUUAGAACACGCUCGAAAUCCGUUUAUAAAAAAAAAUAUCACAAAAUUGGUCGAAAACAAGAAAAAAAUUCAAUGUUUUCAGCAUUAAAAAUUUUCUAAGCAUUCAAAACAAAAUUCCUGCAUUCAUACCAAAAGUACAAGUGUACGAAACAUCCUCCUAAAAUUUGAGCUUAAUUUGACUACUCGUUCCCUUGGAAUCCUACGGACAGUGCUCGAACACAUAAAAUAGUGCACGGAGUGUAACACAUGUACGCAGGGGCUACUAUCAAUUUAGCCUGGGUUUAAAAGUGGUUUGUCCCCUUAAUAGGACAUGGGAAUCAUGCUUGCGUUACAAACAAUAUUUUUUAUUUCUUAAUAUGAUUAC
This is a long non-coding RNA of Nasonia vitripennis (jewel wasp), 375 nucleotides long. RefSeq lists it as uncharacterized. The record is from RefSeq and is a predicted model, not a curated record. The transcript is spliced from 2 exons. Lineage: Eukaryota; Metazoa; Arthropoda; Insecta; Hymenoptera; Pteromalidae.